GACGAACGCUGGCGGCGUGCUUAACACAUGCAAGUCGAACGAAAAGGCCCCCUUUUGGGGUGCUCGAGUGGCGAACGGGUGGGUAACACGCGAUUAACCUACCCUUGACUUUGGGAUGACUUCCUAAUACCGGGUCUAAUACCCGGACGGAGCUCCUGCUGCCUGUGGGGGGUCGGGCAUUUGCGGCGGUUGGGGAUGGACUCGCGGCCUAUCAGCUUGUUGGUCGGGUAGUGGCUCACCAAGGCUUUGACGGGUAGCCGGCCUGAGAGGGUGCCCGGCCACAUUGGGACUGAGAUACGGCCCAGACUCCUACGGGAGGGAGCAGUGGGGAAUAUUGCACUAUGGGCGGAAGCCUGAUGCAGCCACGCCGCGUGCGGGAUGACGGCAUUCGGGUUGUAUACCGCUUUCGCCUGUGACGAAGCGUGAGUGACGGUAAUGGGUAAAGAAGCACCGGCUAACUACGUG
This 465-nucleotide ribosomal RNA is filed under the name uncultured bacterium. RNAcentral's name for it is "partial 16S ribosomal RNA". It matches the Rfam family "Bacterial small subunit ribosomal RNA", at positions 28 to 507 of the family's 1533-position model. The record is from RNAcentral.